RNAcentral lists this ribosomal RNA (409 nucleotides) under bacterium. Its description in RNAcentral is "partial 16S ribosomal RNA". It matches the Rfam family "Bacterial small subunit ribosomal RNA", at positions 355 to 776 of the family's 1533-position model. The record is from RNAcentral.
UGGGGAAUAUUGCACAAUGGGCGAAAGCCUGAUGCAGCGACGCCGCGUGAGGGAUGACGGCCUUCGGGUUGUAAACCUCUUUCAGUAGGGACGAAGCGCAAGUGACGGUACCUGCAGAAGAAGCACCGGCUAACUACGUGCCAGCAGCCGCGGUAAUACGUAGGGUGCGAGCGUUGUCCGGAAUUACUGGGCGUAAAGAGUUCGUAGGCGGUUUGUCACGUCGUCUGUGAAAUCCUAGGGCUUAACCCUGGACGUGCAGGCGAUACGGGCUGACUUGAGUACUACAGGGGAGACUGGAAUUUCUGGUGUAGCGGUGGAAUGCACAGAUAUCAGGAAGAACACCGAUGGCGAAGGCAGGUCUCUGGGUAGUAACUGACGCUGAGGAGCGAAAGCAUGGGUAGCGAACAGG